This 501-nucleotide ribosomal RNA is filed under the name uncultured bacterium. Its description in RNAcentral is "partial 16S ribosomal RNA". It matches the Rfam family "Bacterial small subunit ribosomal RNA", at positions 28 to 523 of the family's 1533-position model. The record is from RNAcentral.
GAUGAACGCUGGCGGCAGGCUUAACACAUGCAAGUCGAGCGGGGUGAUGGUGCUUGCACUAUCACUUAGCGGCGGACGGGUGAGUAAUGCUUAGGAAUCUGCCUAUUAGUGGGGGACAACAUCUCGAAAGGAAUGCUAAUACCGCAUACGUCCUACGGGAGAAAGCAGGGGAUCUUCGGACCUUGCGCUAAAUGAUGAGCCUAAGUCGGAUUAGCUAGUUGGUGGGGUAAAGGCCUACCAAGGCGACGAUCUGUAGCGGGUCUGAGAGGAUGAUCCGCCACACUGGGACUGAGACACGGCCCAGACUCCUACGGGAGGCAGCAGUGGGGAAUAUUGGACAAUGGGCGGAAGCCUGAUCCAGCCAUGCCGCGUGUGUGAAGAAGGCCUUAUGGUUGUAAAGCACUUUAAGCGAGGAGGAGGCUACUAGUAUUAAUACUACUGGAUAGUGGACGUUACUCGCAGAAUAAGCACCGGCUAACUCUGUGCCAGCCGCCGCCGUAA